This 483-nucleotide ribosomal RNA is filed under the name Rhizobium etli. Its description in RNAcentral is "bacterial SSU rRNA". It matches the Rfam family "Bacterial small subunit ribosomal RNA", at positions 44 to 573 of the family's 1533-position model. Lineage: Bacteria; Pseudomonadati; Pseudomonadota; Alphaproteobacteria; Hyphomicrobiales; Rhizobiaceae. The record is from RNAcentral.
AGGCUUAACACAUGCAAGUCGAGCGCCCCGCAAGGGGAGCGGCAGACGGGUGAGUAACGCGUGGGAACGUACCCUUUACUACGGAAUAACGCAGGGAAACUUGUGCUAAUACCGUAUGUGCCCUUCGGGGGAAAGAUUUAUCGGUAAAGGAUCGGCCCGCGUUGGAUUAGCUAGUUGGUGGGGUAAAGGCCUACCAAGGCGACGAUCCAUAGCUGGUCUGAGAGGAUGAUCAGCCACAUUGGGACUGAGACACGGCCCAAACUCCUACGGGAGGCAGCAGUGGGGAAUAUUGGACAAUGGGCGCAAGCCUGAUCCAGCCAUGCCGCGUGAGUGAUGAAGGCCCUAGGGUUGUAAAGCUCUUUCACCGGAGAAGAUAAUGACGGUAUCCGGAGAAGAAGCCCCGGCUAACUUCGUGCCAGCAAGCCCGCGGUAAUACGAAGGGGGCUAGCGUUGUUCGGAAUUACUGGGCGUAAAGCGCACGUA